CGGGAUCUUCCACGUUUUCAAGGAUAAAACUCAGCAAAAAAAGGGAAAGAAUCCCCCCAAACCCUUCCCGAAUGAUUCCUCCCCCAAUUCCAUGGGAUUUUGGGAUUUUUUUAAUUUUUAAUUGGAUUCAAACACACCAAACUCACAGGAAGGGCUGGGGGGGGAGGGGGGGUCACUCCUCCCUGGCUGGAUUUGGGAAUUCUGGGAUUCGGGAAUUCUGGGAUUCGGGAACAGGGACCAGCCCAGGGGGAGGAGCAGCCCCCAAAAAAAAGAGGGAAAAGGAUGAGCCUGGAUGAAUCCCAUGGGAUUUUUGGGAAGCACGGUGGCACCUCCAGGCUGAUUGCUGGGAAGGGAUUUAAUUCCCAAAGGAAGGGGGGAAAAGCCGGGAUUGGCAUUCCCGAGGAUUCCGGCGUUCCCGAGGGAGCUCAGCAUUCCCACAGGGAACGUCACUCCCCCUUCCCAAGGCUCCCGAGCCCGGGAAAGAGGAAAAAGGGAUGGGAAAAGCAGGAAUUUCCCUUCUCCGGGUGGAUCUGGGGCUCCAGCAUCCCUGGGGACACCGGGAAUGUCACCUGUCCCCCUCAGGAAAAGCGGGAAUGGCGCUGGGGAGCGGCUCCCCCGCUUCCUUCCUGAGGGAUUUUCACUCUUCCCGACCCUGCUGCUCCCAAAAUCCCGAGGCUGGAGCGGCGAUCCCGCUCUGGAAUCUUCUGGGAGCGUUUUCCGAGCGGAAUUCCAAGGAGGGAGUGGCAGGGACAGCCUGGGAGCGGCUUUUUCCAGGGAAUGUCACCUGGAGCCGCCUGGCACUGCUGUCCCCUCUCCCCCGGCCCCAGGAGAGGCUUUUCCUGCUCCUCCCCGAGCGGAUUUUUCCCUCUUCCCAAUCCCAAAGGGACAAGGAUGGCCCCGAUCCCAAAGGGAAUGGCAGCAGGGAUUUCAGGGAUAGCCCGAUCCCAAAGGGAAUGGGAACAGGGAGAUCCCAAUCCCAAGAAAAACAGGAGCAGGGAUUUCCAGGGAUAUCCCAAUCCCAAAGGAAAUAGGAGCAGGGAUAUCCCAAUCCCAAAGGAAAUGGCACCAGGGAGAUCCCAAUCCCAAAGGAUUCCAGGGAUAGCCCAGUCCCAAGGGAUUCCAGGGAUACCUCAACCCCAAGGAAUUCCAGGGAUCUCCCAAUCCCAAGGGAUUCCAGGGAUAUCCCAAAGGAUUUCAGGGAUACCCCAAUCCCAAGGAAUUCAAGGGAUAUCCCAAAGGAUUCCAGGAAUAUCCCAAGGAAUUCCAGGGAUAUCCCAAGGAAUUCCAGGGAUAUCCCAAGUGAUUCCAGGGAUCUCCCAAUCCCAAAGGAAACGGCACCAGGGGUACCCGAGGGAGAUCCUGCUCUGGAAUCAUUUCGGGAUCACGCUCCGGGGGCGUUUCCCACGCGGCGGCUCCGGAAUUCCAGGGAGGGAACACCAAGGAGCUGCUGGGAGCUGCUGGGAGCUGCUGGGAGCUGCUUUUUCCAGGGAAUUUGGGGAAGGAGAAGGCGCCAUCAGUCCGACCUCGAGAAAUCCACGGAGACAGAAAAAGAGAGAGAGAGAGAGAGAGAGGGAGAGGAAAAAGAAGCGAAUCCCGCGUGGAGAAUUUUCCAGGGAGGAUUUUCCAGGGAGGAUUUUCCCGGGAGAAUUUUCCAGGGAGGAUUUUCCCGGGAGGAUUUUCCCGGGAGGGUUUUCCCAGGAGGGUUUUCCAGGGAGGAUUUUCCAGGGAGGGUUUCCCCGGGAGGGUUUUCCAGGGAGGAUUUUCCAAGGAGAAUUUUCCCAGGAGGAUUUUCCCAGAAGGAUUUUCCCGGGAGAAUUUUCCAGGGAGGAUUUUCCAGGGAGGGUUUUCCAGGGAGGAUUUUCCCGGGAGGAUUUUCCUGGGAGGAUUUUCCCGGGAGGAUUUUCCCGGGAGAAUUUUCCUGGAAGGAUUUUCCCAGGAGGAUUUUCCAGGGACGAUUUUCCCGGGAGGAUUUUCCCGGGAGGAUUUUCCUGGGAGGAUUUUCCUGGGAGGAUUUUCCCGGGAGGAUUUUCCUGGGAGGAUUUUCCUGGGAGGAUUUUCCCGGGAGGAUUUUCCUGGGAGGAUUUUCCAGGGAGGA
Parus major (Great Tit) is the source of this 2095-nucleotide long non-coding RNA. The record is from Ensembl. NCBI's taxonomy places the organism in Eukaryota, Metazoa, Chordata, Aves, Passeriformes, Paridae.